This 2512-nucleotide long non-coding RNA is filed under the name Physcomitrium patens. RNAcentral describes it as "long non-coding RNA (PPAT_LNC007432)". The record is from RNAcentral. Lineage: Eukaryota; Viridiplantae; Streptophyta; Bryopsida; Funariales; Funariaceae.
ACAUUGAGUAAUAUGCAAGAAGAACUUGUAACCUUUGAUAUAAAUCCUGACGCGUGGAAAUGUUUUAGUCACUAUCUUUGCGGAAAAGCCCCGGGAAAUUAUGUAUGAUCUGGCACAGAGAGUGUGUAGCGCAUGGAAUUAGAACCCAACUUGCCGCAGUAGAGCGUGGCUGGACGUUAUUCUAUUUUGCAUCACAUCUGACAUUCAAACUUCAAGCUGGAUCUAUUAAAAAUAGCUGUCAAUCACCUUGGAAUAUGCAUCGACUCCACGUUACAACAACUCGAAAACGCACAGUUAUACUUCGUCAAACACCCAUCCCGAAAAGACACUCAAUUGCGGGACUAAGCACAGGGUUCCCGUAGAAUGUGCUAAAUCAUCGGUGAAAACCACAAACUCUAAAAACCUGGAGAUGAGCUCAUUUUCUUCAAUCUCGUGAAAAAAUAAAAAUAAAAAAAACAAAACAAAACGAAAACAAAAACUAUACAAAAUAAAAACAUUUCACUUCCACAAUCCAAUCAUAUUUACUUUCACCUCUUUGUUCUGGGAAUAAUAAGGCAUCUCACAUGCAAAGUGGAUGCUUUGUCCGGAAGAUGUGUAACCAUAUCCUAAAUCACUGAACAUGGUUAUAAACACACGAUCAUCCAACAUGAAUUCCACUGCUAGUCGAGGACUUCGCCGAAAAUGGGUGCAAUCCGUUUCACCGAGAACUCAUGAAACAGACUUUAGAACUGCACCGAAAAUUGGAUUAAGUCAGAAGUAGAUACAGGUCCCCUCAGUGAAGAGACUUAUUCUCGAAGGCCAAUCAAAGGCGCUUCUUUACUCGCAGCUGAAGUUGGAGUUUGCUGCUGCUACUACAGACCUUUUGACGUUUGACCAGGUCCUCUCAGUCACUGAUUUAUUGCCAGAGUCUCUGGGUCCCAUCCAGCCAAUUUAAGAUCUUGGCCUCCAUGAGCACUUGCUUGUUGGUCAAUUAUCAUUUAUUUAUUUAUAUAUAUAUAUAUAUAUAUAUAUAUAUAUGUGUGUAUGUGAAUGUAUGUAUGUUAAUAUAUAUAUAUAUAUAUAUAUGUGUGUGAAUGUAUGUAUUUUAAUAUAUAUAUAUAUGUGUGUGUGAAUGUAUGUAUGUUAAUAUAUAUAUAUAUAUAUAUAUAUAUAUAGACAGAUUGGUAGAUAGAGACUUUAGGUUGAGAGCUAAAUUAGGUUAAAACUCAAAAUUCAAACUAUGGUAGUUGCAAGUAAUGUUUUGAAACUUUGUUGAAGUGGUAUUUAUCAGCUUCAGAAUCUUUGUUCUCUUUGAAUAUUUCUUCUGUUGUACAGUUGAAAUUAUGUUGUUUAUUUUGUGUGAAAGAAUAUAAGCUUGAAACUAUACCGUCUCAGCAUUAUGCAAGUUACGGUUAUGAAGGUUAAUACACCUUGAGUGAAGGAAAGGGUUUUGCAUGCUUUCAUAGUUUACAUUCAUUUGUCAUGUGUUGAAAAUGCUUUGAGCAGUAAAGCACCUGUAAAAAGAUUUUUUGUGAAUUGUGCAGCACCUUAUAUUGGUUAUAUUUUUUAGUGUAAUGAAGUGUAAAAAUACAUUUGCAAUGAUAAAUUUAAUGUACCGUGAUAUAUAUAUAUAUAUACAUCUGUGAUUUUACAUAUGCACAUUGUAAUACAGAUGCCAAAAACUGUAGAAUAAACUAAACCAUCCUACUAUCCCAUUUUUGUAAAGCUGAAAAUAAAUAAUCAGAUAUUUGAAUAACUAAAAGCAUGACAGCUCCCUCAAUGAACGUCAUUGCUUUUACAAAAUAUUUUUCAAAUUAUUGAAAUAUCAACAUACAUACCUGCAUAUAUGCAUACAUAUAUCAUCAAAAAGAAAUUAUGUUAACAUAAAUCAUCAAAAAAAAGAAACGUAAGAGUUUCACAAUUAGACAUUAAAAUAAUGAAACAGUCAUGAAAAACACGCUGGCACAUCAUUUGCAGAAUCACACACACAUAGCUACAAAUUCUUUAGGGGCUUUUCACAAACCCAACUUUUCACAACAUUCCACACAACCAAACCGUCGAUACUUUCGCAAACCAUCGGAGGCACUUGACUCAUCAACACACCUUAUUUAAAAAGGACCCAUAAUUCCCCCUCAUCAAAAACCUAACAAGAAAAACAAAAAAACACGAAACAUGACAUGUAACACAUUGACAAAAUACAUGACAAACAAUAAAAAAAUCAUUGGAAUAAACACAUGCGCUGGUAGUGAUCAACCACCCAUGCCAUGCGUUGGAAAGGGGGAAGAAGAGGAAGCAGAAGCAGCAGCAGCAGAAGAAUUGCACAAUCCAGAACCUCGUGGGGGCACGCUAUGGAAACCCUAAAAAGCAGGGAAGAAGGAAGAGAUGGAGGAACACUCACUCACUCACUCACUCACUCACAUCGCUGAGGCAACACACACACACUGGCACAGAGAAGAGAAAUGAAUGAGCUUCUGUGUGGAGAUCACAACACAAUAGCUAGUGCGCACAUACACACACAUUCUCACACACAUAC